AGCGUCAUAGAGGGUGAGAAUCCCGUCUUUGACACGGACGACCAAGUGCUAUGUGAUGCGCUCUCGACGAGUCGAGUUGUUUGGGAAUGCAGCUCAAAACGGGUGGUAAAUUCCAUCUAAAGCUAAAUACAGGCGAGAGACCGAUAGCGAACAAGUACCGUGAGGGAAAGAUGAAAAGAACUUUGGAAAGAGAGUUAAACAGUACGUGAAAUUGCUGAAAGGGAAACGCUUGAUGUCAGUCGCGUCGGCCGGGGAUCAACCUUGCUUCUCGCUGGGUGUACUUCCCGGUCGACGGGUCAGCAUCGGUUUCGGUCGCCGUACAAUGGCGAGGGGAAUGUGGCACCCUUYGGGGUGUGUUAUAGCCUUUCGUCGUAUGCGGUGGUCGGGACCGAGGAACUCGGCACGGCUUCGGUCUGUGCUUAGGAUGCUGGCAUAAUGGCCUUAAGCGACCCGUCUUGAAACACGGACCAAGGAGUCUAACAUGCCUGCGAGUGUUUGGGUGGCAAACCCAAGCGCGAAAUGAAAGUGAAAGUCGAGACCUCUGUCGUGGAGGGCAUCGACGCCCGGACCUGAGUCUUUGACGACGGAUCUGCGGUAGAGCAUGUAUGUUGGGACCCGAAAGAUGGUGAACUAUGCCUGAAUAGGGUGAAGCCAGAGGAAACUCUG
Molecule: ribosomal RNA, 666 nt
Filed under: Cyanoboletus sp. OAV-2020a
Lineage: Eukaryota; Fungi; Basidiomycota; Agaricomycetes; Boletales; Boletaceae
Description: partial large subunit ribosomal RNA
Source: RNAcentral